UUCUAGCUAUUUGUCGGAGUCAAACCUCUGCAUUGCAUCCAUGUAAGAGAUUGGAUCCUCAUUGUUCUUGUCCAGUUCAACAGGAUCCCCAUCUCGGAUCAAAAAAUCAUAGUAUCUAUCUGAUGGACGUGAUACUCCAUUGGAUCUCCUUAAUAGUGCAUCAUUAACAGAUUCUGGAUUCAACUUAGUCAAAUUGAAUUCUGUGGAUUCACUAGAUUGUAUCGGUCCUUCUACUCAUUGAACUUCAUCA
RNAcentral lists this long non-coding RNA (250 nucleotides) under Elaeis guineensis (African oil palm). Its description in RNAcentral is "long non-coding RNA (EGUI_LNC032017)". Lineage: Eukaryota; Viridiplantae; Streptophyta; Magnoliopsida; Arecales; Arecaceae. The record is from RNAcentral.